Aegilops tauschii subsp. strangulata is the source of this 2410-nucleotide non-coding RNA. Lineage: Eukaryota; Viridiplantae; Streptophyta; Magnoliopsida; Poales; Poaceae. The record is from RefSeq and is a predicted model, not a curated record.
CUCACCUCCUCUUCCUCUUUUUCUAGAGCAUGGCCUCGAUCUGGAGCACGAGAGGCCAGGAGAGUGCAUCCUUGAUCUGGAGAAGGGGAGCAGCCGCCGGCCGAUUCUGGCACGCUCCAGCGACCCCGGUGGCCAUCCAGCACCUUCCCGUGCUCUCUUAUCGUCUUGGCCUCCCCCGGAUCCUGGUUCUGCGCCUCCACUGGCUCACCGUCCACCUUCUCCUCCACCUUCCCUAGCUGAUCUGCUCGACCUCAUCGUCGGUGCUCAACAGGGGAAGCACGAGCAGCAGAUGCAGUUGAGCAUCCGCCCGGUCGCAGCUCGGCUUCAGUUAAGUCGCCGCCGCCUCCGGGACCGACAUAGCAGAGGAGCCAUGGAGGGCGUUGGCGGCGCUUGAUUCGAUGUAGCGCCAUGGAUCAGUCCCUGCUGCAGGAGAGAGAGAGAGAGAGAGAGAGAGAGAGAGGGAGAGGGAGAAGGAAGGAGAGGAGGGAGAAAGAGAAAGGAUAGAGGAGAUGGAGGUGCGUCGUCCGGCAUCGGCCUGCACUGAUACGAGGAUGAAGAUUGGGAUUGUGUAUUUUGGAUGCAAUAUCCCACGGAUAUGGGUUACCUUCCAGAGUGAUAGAGUUGGUCACAAUAAAAUAUGAACCAUGUCAAAGGAUGAGGCUUGUUUAUAUUAAAUCACAAGAACUCCAUGAGCUUGCUUGGUUACUCUGGAGAAGGGCAUUCUUUCAAGGAGCUGUAAAUUUUUUGUAUAUGCUCUCUGUUGGGCACUUUUUUCAGUAUGUACGAGAUUUGUUGAGAAUGAGUGAAAAAAUCGACCAUCUGGUGGAUUUGUUCGGUACUCAGACAGAGUGAAAGCAGAGACCGAAAGUUUACGAUUUAGAUGAUUUGGAGGUGCCAUGUCAAUCUUCUUACCUCCAUAUCAAAACGGAUCAGAUGAUUUAUUGCUUAAGGGCAUGCUCUUAUUCUCUGAGAUGGAUGAUGAUGAGCGAUUGAGCGGUGCAACUAAAAAUUCAGAGCUGGGCUUUACACACUUCAGUGGGAGUAGCAUGGCAACACCAAGGUAGAGACCUGAAGACAAGCAAAGGGGCGGACCAAGGAAACUAGAGCCGCGUUGUCGUGAUGUGAGUCGUGUCGUCUUCGUCCAUCUCCAUGGAGGACCUGCUCGACCAAACUGAACAUUCAGUCAUUGUUUUCACCUGGGAUACACCAUCAGUAUCAACACUGGUAAAAAGAAUCCAAUCAAAACAUGAUGUUUUUCCCUUGGCUACAUGUUUAUUUGAAGGAAACCAUUCAAUUCUCAGUGAUCUUUCUUUAUGCUCCUUAUUGCCAUUUUUCCUAAUGCGCCUAUAGAAGUGAUUUAUCAGGUCUUUUGGUAUAUUAUCUUAUAAGGGAAUGCCAAAGUUUGUUGGAUUGUGAAUUCUCUGGUCAGAAUCGGUUGUUUUUUUCCCUUGUGUUCAUUUAUUUCUCAGAUUGCAGAACAGAUGAGUGUAGACUAAGUUGAUGAUCUACAGGUGUUGCUCCUCUCCCCUGACCACAUCACCAGCGCCCCUGCCAUCCUCCAAGCCCAUGGCCAGUGGCUCCCCAAGGCCAAGCUAUGUCAGGCUGUAGCAACAAGAUUGCAGAACAGACGAGUGUAGACUAAGUUGAUGAUCUACAGGUGUUGCUCCUCUCCCCUGAUGUGUAGUGCAACUAUAAAUAGGGAGGGAAUUGCUUGAGGAGAGCUCUCUUGCUACUGUUCUGAGCUCACUCUUUGACUAAUCUAAAUGCUAUCUCUGCUCACCGAUCAAUCAAGGAAAGCACUGAAAUAUCAGCAAGGACCAGCACAAAAAGAAGGGAGAAUAAAUGGGACCAAUUAAGUUACUUGUGUUUAAGAGUACACUACUUUUGACUUUGGAGUCACACUGGUGAAUGGGGCGUCGCAUGAUCUAUGCUGGAGGUGUUCACAUAUAACAAGUUCACUAUUUGUUCCAUUGGUCAGUUGUAUAAUCUGUGGGCGUAUUUAAGUUGAACUAUGCUCCUUUCUUGGUAUUUGGAGACAAGAUAUUGGCAGUUUUUACGUUACCAGACUGUUUAUUAGUUAUCUGUAGUUUUGUAACGCUCUCCAUUGUCAAUGGAAGUUUAGAUUCUUCAGGAAGAAUGGGUCUUGUAUUUAUAUUAUUCAAUUGUGCAAUAAUCGAUUGAUAACAGAAGAUAGAUACUUAAGAAGUUUACAGAUUUGAGUAUGAAAGUUUCACCCCGGUGAGUGUGGUAUUGAAUCAUAACUCUAAUUGUGGUUUAGUUUAUUCUAGGUUACCAGUACAGAGUAUGAACACUUGUAGAGUUUAAAUGGUAAAGUAGCAAAACAGUAUUUUGUACUUGGUUUAUACUCCGUGCUUCAUAGCUUUAUCAUAACCAGUUACUCCCUUGGCCA